Molecule: transfer RNA, 35 nt
Filed under: Orobdella dolichopharynx
Lineage: Eukaryota; Metazoa; Annelida; Clitellata; Hirudinida; Orobdellidae
Description: partial tRNA-Cys
Source: RNAcentral
AAAUUUAAAGGUAUAAUUAUUAUGUCAUUUUCUAU